RNAcentral lists this ribosomal RNA (586 nucleotides) under Herbaspirillum sp. EECC-175. RNAcentral's name for it is "bacterial SSU rRNA". It matches the Rfam family "Bacterial small subunit ribosomal RNA", at positions 80 to 662 of the family's 1533-position model. The record is from RNAcentral. Lineage: Bacteria; Pseudomonadati; Pseudomonadota; Betaproteobacteria; Burkholderiales; Oxalobacteraceae.
UUGCUCUGAUGGCGAGUGGCGAACGGGUGAGUAAUAUAUCGGAACGUGCCCUAGAGUGGGGGAUAACUAGUCGAAAGACUAGCUAAUACCGCAUACGAUCUAAGGAUGAAAGUGGGGGAUCGCAAGACCUCAUGCUCGUGGAGCGGCCGAUAUCUGAUUAGCUAGUUGGUGGGGUAAAAGCCUACCAAGGCAACGAUCAGUAGCUGGUCUGAGAGGACGACCAGCCACACUGGGACUGAGACACGGCCCAGACUCCUACGGGAGGCAGCAGUGGGGAAUUUUGGACAAUGGGGGCAACCCUGAUCCAGCAAUGCCGCGUGAGUGAAGAAGGCCUUCGGGUUGUAAAGCUCUUUUGUCAGGGAAGAAACGGUUCUGGAUAAUACCUAGGACUAAUGACGGUACCUGAAGAAUAAGCACCGGCUAACUACGUGCCAGCAGCCGCGGUAAUACGUAGGGUGCAAGCGUUAAUCGGAAUUACUGGGCGUAAAGCGUGCGCAGGCGGUUGUGUAAGUCAGAUGUGAAAUCCCCGGGCUCAACCUGGGAAUUGCAUUUGAGACUGCACGGCUAGACCUGGGAUAACACUGAC